Pararge aegeria (speckled wood butterfly) is the source of this 461-nucleotide long non-coding RNA. RefSeq lists it as uncharacterized. The transcript is spliced from 2 exons. Lineage: Eukaryota; Metazoa; Arthropoda; Insecta; Lepidoptera; Nymphalidae. The record is from RefSeq and is a predicted model, not a curated record.
UCAUGGAUUUCCGCAAAGUAACGCCUGCUUCUAUCCAAGAAUUUGAAAAUGUUGAAGACAUGUUACCUACCUAACAUCUGACUGCAUUUGUGUGUGUACGUAGUGACUCUACCACCGAUUCGGGAAGUUGAAUUAACCCAGAAAAAGCUGAAAUGAAAACCAGAAAAAUGAAACUGAAAGGCGAAAAUUAUACAAUAUUGAAAAUUUUACCAUUUUUUUCUACAUUGUGUGAGAUGUAAUCAGGCAGCUGCUUCCAAGAAACCUUGUCAUUAAGGAAUUUAUCAAUUUUAUAGUAACCUCGAUGUAUUAAAUAUGUCUUAAUACAUUGUUGAAACUUUUGCAUAGGUGAAUCUAAUAUUGCCUUGGGUAUCAUAUUAUACUCCAACAAAGUACGAUACUGUUUCAGACGAAAUACACAAAUGAAAAAUUUAUGUUAGUUUUUAGUAAAUCUUUUGCUUAUA